CUCAGCCACGGGGCUGGCCCCUGAACUAGUCUUAAACACUUCAGUAUUAUUAUCCCCAUUGUACAGAGAAGAAAACUGAGGUUCAUGGAUACAUAGGACUUAUCCAAGGCCAAAAGAACCUUAGCGUGGCCAGGAGUCCAGGAAAAUACGGUGGGGGUCCUCGAGGACCACCCCAAGAAGCUUCAGACUUGGUUCUGCUGUGAUGUCAGGAAGCCGAUGGACGCCUGCGGCUGCUUGUUGCUGUUGUCACUGCAGGGGCCGGGGCGCUAGAAGAGAGGAAGUUUGUGCCCCAGAGAGGAGCCAAAUGAGCACCCCGAACAGAGAGACGGCAGGGGCAGACUUCCAGAGUCAGGAUGGACCUCACGAGUGGGUCACGUCUCAUUUCCUUCUUUCACAACCCCCAUUAGGCUGUCAGCUCGGAGUUUUAAAGGAGGGUCUUCAGACCACCUCUCUCCGGGGUCCUGCCUUUGAUCACUGUCAAGGUCUGAAUCUUCCAGCCACACUCCCUCCUUUGGCACAUUGUGCCCUAUUGCCUUAGUCAUCUCACCCAUUUGGAGGCCAAGGAGAAUGAAGACAGGGAGGGGAGCUGGUCCUGGCAGACACAGGGAUGGACUGGAGGCCCCUUUGGUUUCCAGAAGCUGAUCUGAAACCUUCCCUUUGCCCUGCGUUCCCAUUGGCCCCAUUUGCGACAGUAAACGCAUGGCUGUACUCAAGAGUUCAUUUUUCAAUGUUCUGCUUUUCUCUCUUCACAGUGCUGGAGUCCAGAGGGAGGCAGAAGAGAGGGACAGAGACUUCUGAAGUCUCCCUCGAGCUCGCCUCCUCUCCGGAGGGACCUUUGCUUCCAGAAUGGAGCCGUUCGGUCUAUUUUUGCAGUAGAGCUGGCUGCCCCAUGCCAAGGUUUCUUACCACAAAUAGAACUUCUGGAAGGGCCCACUGGUUUCCUCCGCGCUUCCAGACACCUCUUCACAUUUCAUCUGGCUUCCCUUCUCCAGCCCCAAAAGGGAAUAUUCCGAGUCUCCUCUGUGUUGCUGUGAUGAGGGCACCUCCAGAGGCCCUCCAGGGGGACUCCCUCGGGGCGGCCGUGAGCCUGGCCUGGCGCUUGGGCUCUGGCCUCUGGCCCACCCCGCCACCACUCCCUACAAGCUGAGCUGCGAAGCCCCAGGGGGCCGAGUCCCAGAGUGAAUCCCAAACGGAAGGCUCACCCCUGAGUGAGAUGGUGAAACAGACGAACCACACUCAGCGUCCUCGUCCCCUCAGCUCUCUGGCCCCUCACCUGUCAUUUAACGUGGGCUUUGAGAACUCAUCACUCCGAGUGUCAUGGCCAAGGGAUAUAAAACUGAGACACUUCCCUAAACGGGAUGCCUGGAAUCUGGACACGCUAGAAACAUCCCUGCGAGCUGAAUUAAAAGAGGUGAGGGGAAAUAAAAGCUCACCUCACCAACCUGCUAGGAAUUGUCAACCAGGCAAGAGCUAAGUGGGCCCAAGACCAGCUUUGGUUUGUCAGGGUCUGAGGUUAGACCAUGCAGGGGAAAGCUACUUUCUCGAGAUGCUUGAGACAGAGCUUCGGAAGAUUCCAGAACAGCAGCAACAAACCCAAUCAUUUGAAAGGCUCCCAUGUUAUGUAAGCAUCUCACCUCCUCUCAGGCGGUGUGGCUGGUAAGAGCUCAGUCUGGCAGACGGACUGGGUUCCUAUUUCAGUUCUGCCGCUUGCUGGCUGUGUGACCUUAGGGUGUUUCUAAACUGCUCUAAGCUUUUCCUUUCUUCUUGGGAAGCAACAAAGGGGAGAAUGACAACGCGCCUGGCAGAGAAUAAACCUGCAAGGAUGAAUAACAAGAGUCUACGAGAGCUGGACCCUUAACAUGAGCGAGAGUGACACCCUCCUCACGGUCCCAACCAUCCAAGCUAAAGGCUCGAGCUAAGAGGUGCCGACUCCAUGUGAACUCGAGGUGCAAGUGACCCUGCCCUCGGAGCUGCUC
Molecule: long non-coding RNA, 1976 nt
Filed under: Equus caballus (horse)
Lineage: Eukaryota; Metazoa; Chordata; Mammalia; Perissodactyla; Equidae
Description: lncRNA (ENSECAG00000055734.1)
Source: RNAcentral